This 430-nucleotide ribosomal RNA is filed under the name uncultured bacterium. RNAcentral's name for it is "bacterial SSU rRNA". It matches the Rfam family "Bacterial small subunit ribosomal RNA", at positions 62 to 524 of the family's 1533-position model. The record is from RNAcentral.
UCGAACGAGAAAGUGGAGCAAUCCAUGAGUAAAGUGGCGCACGGGUGAGUAACACGUGACUAACCUACCCUUGAGUGGGGGAUAACUUCGGGAAACCGAGGCUAAUACCGCAUAAUACCCACGGGUCAAAGGAGCAAUUCGCUCGAGGAGGGGGUCGCGGCCGAUUAGUUAGUUGGCGGGGUAAUGGCCCACCAAGACGAUGAUCGGUAUCCGGCCUGAGAGGGCGCACGGACACACUGGAACUGAAACACGGUCCAGACUCCUACGGGAGGCAGCAGUGGGGAAUUUUGCGCAAUGGGGGAAACCCUGACGCAGCAACGCCGCGUGGAGGAUGAAGUCCUUCGGGACGUAAACUCCUUUCGAUCGGGACGAUAAUGACGGUACCGAGAGAAGAAGCCCCGGCUAACUUCGUGCCCGCAGCCGCGGUAAU